RNAcentral lists this long non-coding RNA (1523 nucleotides) under Sus scrofa (pig). RNAcentral's name for it is "lncRNA (ENSSSCG00035054069.1)". The record is from RNAcentral. Lineage: Eukaryota; Metazoa; Chordata; Mammalia; Artiodactyla; Suidae.
GCCAGACUUGGCCACCAAGCUUGCUCCAAAAUGUUGAGUUCGUAGAAAAAGUACUUUUAUAAUAACUCCCAUUCCCUUGCCCAGACUAACUGUCAAAUCUAUGAAAGCAUCCAAAUUCAUUUUAAUUUUAUUGCUUCUCAUUGAGUACUCUAAGAUAGAGCUAGCUAUUUCAAAGUUCCUUUUUAGUCUGUUUUGUUUGGUUGAUUAUUUUGUUCUCUGCAAAUUAUUUUGAGGCAAGGGAAAGGAUACAAAUAAGUAUUUAUAUUUGAAAUCUUAUUUCUUACCACUGCUUAUAUUUUCUUAGGGUAGUGAGUCAGUAUUUCUGGGGAGGUAUAUUUUUGUUUUCUUCAGUGGGUUUUUUGGUCAUGCAUGUGUAAGGCAUUGAUUUGCAAUACUAAUGCCCAUUAAUCCUUUGUUUUUGAUGCUCUGAAUCCUAAUUGAAAUAUGAUCUUCUCCAGCUUAUUAUGAAUUUAGUUGUAAGUUAAAGCAACCAAAAACUUAUACAAUCCUUGGAAGCAGGACAGUGGUAUUUGGGGGGAAGAGGUGAUAUUAAUUUCUAAUGUCCUGGGGACCAAAAUGAGGGAAAAUUAAAUAAUGGAGUGAAGGUAAAAGAAAGAGAUAAACUAUUUUUUUUUGUUAAAGUUUUAUCAUUUUGAUUGAUUAUUUAGGUUUUUUGUAAAUAUGGGCAUAGGUAUAUAGAAAAUGUGCUAUUUGCCCACACAAAAAAUAGAAGUGCUCUUCUCCUUCUAUUGCAGAAAUGAAAAUUCUGACCGUUCACAUUAUUGCGUCUAAUUGUAGAAAGACUAUACCCUUAUGAAAGACUAAGGCCAAUUAUUUUGGUCUCAAGCAUCUUUGGAAUAGCACUGACUUUGAUUUCUCAAUGAGUCCUCUGUGGUCUGAUAUGUCUUAAGCUGAAUGGGGCUUGUGGUUCCAUGGAAAUCUUGAGUCGUCUUCCUCACAUUUGGCAUUGAAAUGGCAGUAGUUAGUAAAGAUGGGGCAUCUGUGUCUUGUGAAAAACAUGGAGGAAAGUGUAUUUGAGACCUGUCUUUGCUGUUUAUUAAUUGUGAGUCUGAGUUUACUUUGCCCUGCAGUGAGAAUUGUGGUUGAUUUGGAACAGAGAAGAGAUUAUUGGGCAAAUGAUUGGCCUUGGACCCCUUGCUGGAGAGCAUAUCAAGGAGACUGUGGAGAUCAAGGAUGGUCUGGGAGAAUAUGUCCUGUUUAAAGUAACUAUCAAAUACCAAUAAUCAUAGUACACAGAAGUAGGCAGAAAGAUUUGAAUUCUGAUUUGGAAAGGGCUAUUCUUUUUUAAAAUUGAAGUAUACUUGAUUUAAAAUAUUGUAUUAGUUUCAGGUGUACAGCAAAGUAGUUCAGUUAUAUAUAUGUGUGUGUGUGUAUAUAUAUAUAAUGUAUACAUGUGUAUUAGAUUAUAUUUCAUCAUAGGUUAUUACAGUAUAUUAGGUUAUUGAAUAUAAUUCCCUCAGCUAUACAAUAAAUCCUAGUUACUUGUCUAUUUCUGUAUAGUA